Molecule: ribosomal RNA, 910 nt
Filed under: Levilactobacillus brevis
Lineage: Bacteria; Bacillati; Bacillota; Bacilli; Lactobacillales; Lactobacillaceae
Description: bacterial SSU rRNA
Rfam family: Bacterial small subunit ribosomal RNA
Source: RNAcentral
GAGUCUGAUGGAGCAUGCCGCGUGAGUGAAGAAGGGUUUCGGCUCGUAAAACUCUGUUGUUAAAGAAGAACACCUUUGAGAGUAACUGUUCAAGGGUUGACGGUAUUUAACCAGAAAGCCACGGCUAACUACGUGCCAGCAGCCGCGGUAAUACGUAGGUGGCAAGCGUUGUCCGGAUUUAUUGGGCGUAAAGCGAGCGCAGGCGGUUUUUUAAGUCUGAUGUGAAAGCCUUCGGCUUAACCGGAGAAGUGCAUCGGAAACUGGGAGACUUGAGUGCAGAAGAGGACAGUGGAACUCCAUGUGUAGCGGUGGAAUGCGUAGAUAUAUGGAAGAACACCAGUGGCGAAGGCGGCUGUCUAGUCUGUAACUGACGCUGAGGCUCGAAAGCAUGGGUAGCGAACAGGAUUAGAUACCCUGGUAGUCCAUGCCGUAAACGAUGAGUGCUAAGUGUUGGAGGGUUUCCGCCCUUCAGUGCUGCAGCUAACGCAUUAAGCACUCCGCCUGGGGAGUACGACCGCAAGGUUGAAACUCAAAGGAAUUGACGGGGGCCCGCACAAGCGGUGGAGCAUGUGGUUUAAUUCGAAGCUACGCGAAGAACCUUACCAGGUCUUGACAUCUUCUGCCAAUCUUAGAGAUAAGACGUUCCCUUCGGGGACAGAAUGACAGGUGGUGCAUGGUUGUCGUCAGCUCGUGUCGUGAGAUGUUGGGUUAAGUCCCGCAACGAGCGCAACCCUUAUUAUCAGUUGCCAGCAUUCAGUUGGGCACUCUGGUGAGACUGCCGGUGACAAACCGGAGGAAGGUGGGGAUGACGUCAAAUCAUCAUGCCCCUUAUGACCUGGGCUACACACGUGCUACAAUGGACGGUACAACGAGUCGCGAAGUCGUGAGGCUAAGCUAAUCUCUUAAGCCG